Molecule: ribosomal RNA, 439 nt
Filed under: uncultured bacterium
Lineage: Bacteria
Description: partial 16S ribosomal RNA
Rfam family: Bacterial small subunit ribosomal RNA
Source: RNAcentral
CUACGGGUUGCUGCAGUGAGGGAUAUUGCACAAUGGGGGGAACCCUGAUGCAGCAACGCCGCGUGGAGGAUGACGCAUUUCAGUGUGUAAACUCCUUUUAUAUGUCAAGAAAAUGACGGUAGCAUAUGAAUAAGCACCGGCUAACUCCGUGCCAGCAGCCGCGGUAAUACGGAGGGUGCAAGCGUUACUCGGAAUCACUGGGCGUAAAGGACGCGUAGGCGGGUUGGAAAGUCAGGUGUGAAAUCCUACAGCUUAACUGUAGAACUGCACUUGAAACUUCUAAUCUAGAGUAUGGGAGGGGGAGAUGGAAUUAGUGGUGUAGGGGUAAAAUCCGUAGAUAUCACUAGGAAUACCUAAAGCGAAGGCGAUCUCCUGGAACAUUACUGACGCUAAGGCGUGAAAGCGUGGGGAGCAAACAGGAUUAGAUACCCGGGUAGUC